GGCCCUUCACCUGCUACAGCCUGGAUCUCAGCUAGCCUUAACCUGGGCCUACACCUUCUACAGCCUGGAUCUCCGCUGGCUUCAGCCGGGGUCUACAAUUGCUACAGCCUGGAUCUCAGCUACCUUCAGCCUGGCCCUACACCCACAACAGCCUGUCUCUCUGCUAGCUUCAGCCUGGGCCUACAAUUGCUACAGCCUGGAUCUCAGCUAGCUUCAGCCUGGGCCUACACCUACAACAGCCUGGAUCUCAGCUGUCUUCAGCCUGGGCCAACAUCUGAUACAGCCUGGAUCUCAGCUAGCUUUAGCCUGGGCCUACAUCCACCACAGCCUGGAUCUCAGCUAGCUUCAGCCUGAGCCUCCCACAGCCUGACCACAGCUAAUAUCAACCUGGGCCUACACCUACUACAGCCUGGAUCUCAACGGGCCUCAGCUUGGGCCUACAUCUACAGCCUACAGCCUGGAUAUCAGCUAAUAUCAACCUAAAAGAGUACCAAUACAUCACACCAAACGGCUACCCUCCUGUUCCACGGUUUAAAGAACCAUGUCUAUUGGGAGUGCAACCUCUUCAACAUCCAUGGCAUGAAGACCCCCUCUUUCCCAAAUGUUCCCCAUUAUAAUAAAAAUUCGAACCACAAGCAAGCUUCAACAUCUUCUGGACAACCAGUUUACAGAGUCAUGUUCCCCAAGACAAAGAAGGGUGAAGCCACCACAAAGCCUGUUAAGUCAGAACCCACAUUCAAUUAUGUUGGUGACUUGAUGAGGAUUGGUGUUUGAGGAUCCAGCACCAUUUGUGGAGGAGAUGAAAAAAAUCCCCAUACCCAAAGAUCUGUCAUCCUAAUAUGACAGGCCGUCAAAGGAGGAAGUGGUUGCUCGCCACAUGUCAGGCUUCAGUUAAGGGGCGGUUGGAAGCCAACAUACUGGUCAGCUGGAUCAGGAAACUCCUUGCAGAUCCCGAAGACGACACAUGAUGGGCUGACGACCCUGUUGUGGCGUCCCCCAGCACCAACCAUGUCCAAAGCACCUGGAAGUGAAAACAAUGAGGCAAUAUUGCAGUUGCAAAUUGUCUCUCUACUGAUAUAUUUAUGUUUAUGUGUUUAUUUCUGGUCUCGUUACAUUUACAACCA
Molecule: long non-coding RNA, 1124 nt
Organism: Scophthalmus maximus (turbot)
Lineage: Eukaryota; Metazoa; Chordata; Actinopteri; Pleuronectiformes; Scophthalmidae
Exons: 3
Source: RefSeq, a predicted model, not a curated record